Molecule: ribosomal RNA, 151 nt
Filed under: uncultured eukaryote
Lineage: Eukaryota
Description: partial small subunit ribosomal RNA
Rfam family: Eukaryotic small subunit ribosomal RNA
Source: RNAcentral
CCCUGCCAUUUGUACACACCGCCCGUCGCUACUACCGAUUGAACGUUUUAGUGAGGUAUUUGGACUGGGCCUCCCGAGGUUUGCGCCUCGGUUGUUGCCCGGGAAGACUCCCAAACUUGAGCGUUUAGAGGAAGUAAAAGUCGUAACAAGG